GUCCCUCGUGAAGCGUUCACGCAGCUCACAGCAUGAAUGUCAUCCGUACGACUCGCGCACUCCUAAAGCGGGUGCCGCAGGUUCGAAUCCUGCCGGGGGCACCA
RNAcentral lists this transfer RNA (104 nucleotides) under Nonomuraea muscovyensis. RNAcentral's name for it is "tRNA-Arg". Lineage: Bacteria; Bacillati; Actinomycetota; Actinomycetes; Streptosporangiales; Streptosporangiaceae. The record is from RNAcentral.